AUAUCAAUAAGCGGAGGAAAGAACCAACAGGGAUUGCCUUAGUAACGGCGAGUGAAGCGGCAACAGCUCAAAUUUGAAAUCUGGCCCCCAGGCCCGAGUUGUAAUUUGUAGAGGAUGCUUCUGGCGACGCGACUUCCGAGUUCCCUGGAACGGGACGCCAAAGAGGGUGAGAGCCCCGUCCGGCCGUUCGCCUAGCCUAUGUGAAGCUCCUUCGACGAGUCGAGUAGUUUGGGAAUGCUGCUCUAAAUGGGAGGUAUACGUCUUCUAAAGCUAAAUAUUGGCCAGAGACCGAUAGCGCACAAGUAGAGUGAUCGAAAGAUGAAAAGCACUUUGAAAAGAGGGUUAAAUAGUACGUGAAAUUGCUGAAAGGGAAGCGCUUAUGACCAGACUUGGGCUAGGUGAAUCAUCCGGCGUUCUCGCCGGUGCACUUUGCCUGUCCAGGCCAGCAUCAGUUCGCUUCGGGGGAUAAAGGCUUCGGGAAUGUAGCUCCUCCGGGAGUGUUAUAGACCGUUGUGUAAUACCCUGGGGUGGACUGAGGUACGCGUUCUGCAAGGAUGCUGGCGUAAUGGUCAUCAGUGACCCGUCGUGAAACACGGGCCCAAGGAGUCGUCUUCGUAUGCGNAGUGUUCGGGUGUCAAAACCCUACGCGUAAAUGAAAGUGAACGUA
This 667-nucleotide ribosomal RNA is filed under the name Geosmithia putterillii. RNAcentral's name for it is "eukaryotic LSU rRNA". It matches the Rfam family "Eukaryotic large subunit ribosomal RNA", at positions 40 to 733 of the family's 3401-position model. Lineage: Eukaryota; Fungi; Ascomycota; Sordariomycetes; Hypocreales; Bionectriaceae. The record is from RNAcentral.